UAGGGAAUCUUCCACAAUGGACGCAAGUCUGAUGGAGCAACGCCGCGUGAGUGAAGAAGGUUUUCGGAUCGUAAAGCUCUGUUGUUGGUGAAGAAGGAUAGAGGUAGUAACUGGCCUUUAUUUGACGGUAAUCAACCAGAAAGUCACGGCUAACUACGUGCCAGCAGCCGCGGUAAUACGUAGGUGGCAAGCGUUGUCCGGAUUUAGUGGGCGUAAAGCGAGCGCAGGCGGAAGAAUAAGUCUGAUGUGAAAGCCCUCGGCUUAACCGAGGAACUGCAUCGGAAACUGUUUUUCUUGAGUGCAGAAGAGGAGAGUGGAAUUCCAUGUGUAGCGGUGGAAUGCGUAGAUAUAUGGAAGAACACCAGUGGCGAAGGCGACUCUCUGGUCUGCAACUGACGCUGAGGCUCGAAAGCAUGGGUAGCGAACAGG
Molecule: ribosomal RNA, 429 nt
Filed under: bacterium
Lineage: Bacteria
Description: partial 16S ribosomal RNA
Rfam family: Bacterial small subunit ribosomal RNA
Source: RNAcentral